RNAcentral lists this ribosomal RNA (253 nucleotides) under uncultured bacterium. Its description in RNAcentral is "partial 16S ribosomal RNA". It matches the Rfam family "Bacterial small subunit ribosomal RNA", at positions 524 to 776 of the family's 1533-position model. The record is from RNAcentral.
UACAGAGGUCUCAAGCGUUGUUCGGAUUCAUUGGGCGUAAAGAGCUCGUAGGCGGUCUGUUGCGUCGGCUGUGAAAACCCGAGGCUCAACCUCGGGCCUGCAGCCGAUACGGGCAGACUAGAGUUCGGCAGGGGAGACUGGAAUUCCUGGUGUAGCGGUGAAAUGCGCAGAUAUCAGGAGGAACACCGGUGGCGAAGGCGGGUCUCUGGGCCGAUACUGACGCUGAGGAGCGAAAGCGUGGGGAGCGAACGGG